This 253-nucleotide ribosomal RNA is filed under the name uncultured bacterium. RNAcentral's name for it is "partial 16S ribosomal RNA". It matches the Rfam family "Bacterial small subunit ribosomal RNA", at positions 524 to 776 of the family's 1533-position model. The record is from RNAcentral.
GACGAACCGUCCUAACGUUGUUCGGAAUCACUGGGCUUAAAGGGCGCGUAGGCGGGCGAGCAAGUCUAGGGUGAAAUCUUUCGGCUUAACCGGAAAAUAGCCUUGGAUACUGCUGGUCUCGAGGGAGGUAGGGGUCGUUGGAACUUCCGGUGGAGCGGUGAAAUGCGUUGAUAUCGGGAGGAACGCCGGUGGCGAAAGCGAACGACUGGGCCUUUUCUGACGCUGAGGCGCGAAAGCCAGGGGAGCAAACGGG